Molecule: unclassified non-coding RNA, 331 nt
Filed under: soil metagenome
Description: partial contains 5.8S ribosomal RNA, internal transcribed spacer 2, and large subunit ribosomal RNA
Rfam family: 5.8S ribosomal RNA (bases 1-119)
Source: RNAcentral
GAUGAAGACGUAGCGAAAUGCGAUAAGUAGUGUGAAUUGCAGAAUUCAGUGAAUCAUCGAAUCUUUGAACGCACAUUGCGCCCUUUGGUAUUCCUUAGGGCAUGCCUGUUCGAGCGUCAUUUAAACCUUCAAGCUAAGCUUGGUGUUGGGUGACUGUCCGCUUCACGGCGGACUCGCCUCAAAAUUAUUGGCGGCCGGUACAUUGGCUUCGAGCGCAGCAGAAACGCGAACUCGGGCCCGUCGUAUUGGCUCCCAGAAGCUAUCUUCACAAUUUUGACCUCGGAUCAGGUAGGGAUACCCGCUGAACUUAAGCAUAUCAAUAAGCGGAGGA